Molecule: ribosomal RNA, 1383 nt
Filed under: uncultured bacterium
Lineage: Bacteria
Description: bacterial SSU rRNA
Rfam family: Bacterial small subunit ribosomal RNA
Source: RNAcentral
GAGUUUGAUCCUGGCUCAGGAUGAACGCUGGCGGCGUGCUUAACACAUGCAAGUCGAGCGCGGUCCCUUUGGUGCUUGCACCAAAGAAGACUGAGCGGCGGACGGGUGAGUAACGCGUGGGUAACCUGCCCUAUACACAUGGAUAACAUGCUGAAAAGCAUACUAAUACAUGAUAACGUACACUGAUGGCAUCUUCGGUGUAUCAAAGCGUUAGCGGUAUAGGAUGGACCCGCGUCUGAUUAGCUAGUUGGUGGGGUAAAAGCCUACCAAGGCCACGAUCAGUAGCCGACCUGAGAGGGUGAUCGGCCACAUUGGAACUGAGACACGGUCCAAACUCCUACGGGAGGCAGCAGUGGGGAAUAUUGCACAAUGGGCGAAAGCCUGAUGCAGCAACGCCGCGUGAACGAUGAAGGUCUUCGGAUCGUAAAGUUCUGUCGCAGGGGAAGAUAAUGACGGUACCCUGUGAGGAAGCACCGGCUAACUACGUGCCAGCAGCCGCGGUAAUACGUAGGGUGCUAGCGUUAUCCGGAUUUACUGGGCGUAAAGGGUGCGUAGGUGGUCUUUCAAGUCGGUGGUUAAAGGCUACGGCUCAACCGUAUUAAGCCGCCGAAACUGGAAGACUUGAGUGCAGGAGAGGACAGUGGAAUUCUCAGUGUAGCGGUGAAAUGCGUAGAUAUUGAGAAGAACACCAGUAGCGAAGGCGGCUUUCUGGACUGUAACUGACACUGAGGCACGAAAGCGUGGGUAGCAAACAGGAUUAGAUACCCUGGUAGUCCACGCCGUAAACGAUGAGUAUUAGGUGUCGGGGGUUACCCCCCUCGGUGCCGCAGUUAACGCAUUAAAUACUCCGCCUGGGGAGUACGCACGCAAGUGUGAAACUCAAAGGAAUUGACGGGGACCCGCACAAGUAGCGGAGCAUGUGGUUUAAUUCGAAGCAACGCGAAGAACCUUACCUAAGCUUGACAUCUCUCAGAUCGGUAGUUAAUCCUACCUUCCCUUCGGGGCUGAGAUGACAGGUGGUGCAUGGUUGUCGUCAGCUCGUGUCGUGAGAUGUUGGGUUAAGUCCCGCAACGAGCGCAACCCUUGUCUUUAGUUGCCAGCAUUAAGUUGGGCACUCUAGAGAGACUGCCAGGGAUAACCUGGAGGAAGGUGGGGAUGACGUCAAAUCAUCAUGCCCCUUAUGCUUAGGGCUACACACGUGCUACAAUGGGUGGUACAGAGGGUUGCCAAGCCGCAAGGUGGAGCUAAUCCCUUAAAGCCAUUCUCAGUUCGGAUUGUAGGCUGAAACUCGCCUACAUGAAGCUGGAGUUACUAGUAAUCGCAGAUCAGAAUGCUGCGGUGAAUGCGUUCCCGGGUUCUUGUACACACCGCCCGUCAAGGACG